RNAcentral lists this transfer RNA (62 nucleotides) under Trimerodytes annularis (Red-bellied annulate keelback). RNAcentral describes it as "tRNA-Phe". Lineage: Eukaryota; Metazoa; Chordata; Lepidosauria; Squamata; Natricidae. The record is from RNAcentral.
CUUAAAUAGCUUACCUUAAAGCAUAGCACUGAAAAUGCUAAGACGGCCACGCCUGCUUAACA